This 326-nucleotide ribosomal RNA is filed under the name uncultured eukaryote. RNAcentral describes it as "partial 18S ribosomal RNA". It matches the Rfam family "Eukaryotic small subunit ribosomal RNA", at positions 1470 to 1796 of the family's 1831-position model. The record is from RNAcentral.
CCCUUAGAUGUCCUGGGCCGCACGCGCGCUACACUGAACGGAUCAGCGCGUUUUCCCUUCCCGAGAGGGACGGGUAACCUGCUGAACCCCGUUCGUGGUAGGGAUCGGGGCUUGCAAUUAUUCCCCGUGAACCAGGAAUGCCCAGUAAGUGCAAGUCAUAAGCUUGCGUUGAUUACGUCCCUGCCCUUUGUACACACCGCCCGUCGCUACUACCGAUUGAACGUUUUAGUGAGGUACUCGGACUGAGCCUCAGAAGAUUCACGUCUUUUGUGCUGCUCGGGAAGAUUCCCAAACUUGGGCGUUUAGAGGAAGUAAAAGUCGUANCA